GUGGUGUUCAUUUAAUUAUCAUCUGUUUGUUAGAAGAGGUAACUGUACAUUAUGUUCACAACUAAUCGAGUCCAUGGCUAUUAUGUCAUCAUGUCAGGAAACAUGACACCAGAUGGAUGAGCAUGGUACUGGAGCAGCAGCCUAAGUGCUCCCUGACACCUAUCAUAUGCAAGGAAAGAAGUUUGAGUAUUUGAGGAUCCAGUUUCCUCCUGCAGAAAUCCAUCUACACCUUCAGAGAUAAAUGCAAUCUCAAUGGGCAGGCAUGC
Mus musculus (house mouse) is the source of this 266-nucleotide long non-coding RNA. RefSeq annotates it as predicted gene, 41333. NCBI's taxonomy places the organism in Eukaryota, Metazoa, Chordata, Mammalia, Rodentia, Muridae. The transcript has 4 exons. The record is from RefSeq and is a predicted model, not a curated record.